ACACAUCGCAAUAAGACGGUCAUAAAAUAUUUUCUACGAUCUCACCACAAAAAAGGGAGGAGAAACAGAUUCAAUGCCCAAUGAGCCCUAAAACAAGUCAAUUUACAAAUAUAUAUACUUAUUUAUUUAUAAGGGUUAAUUUCAUACAUAUCCCUACAAACGAAGUGAAAGGCAAAUACAUUCCUAUAAAGUUUAAUUUUCAUAUAUUGUUUCUAUAAAACUCUUAAUGUUUUCAAAUAUAUCUCUCUGAUUUGUUACUAGUAGAGAACCGUUAGAAAACCGUUUAUAUUUUCAAUUUUGCCAUCACAAAUAUAUUCACUACAACAGAAUUAGGUUAUAGCGACACAUGUUUGGGACAUUUUUGUGUAACCGUCCCAUUUAUACAAAAACUUUUAAAAAAAUCUACUAAUGCCUAAAUAUAAAGCCCAAUCCAAUAAAAAAUAAAAGAUUACUCUACUCAACCCACUCCAUCCAUCCCAUUCGGCCCAAUUACAAACAGAAAAGAAAAAAUAAAAGAAAAAUCGAUUAUCAUCUCCUCUUUUCCCCUCACUCAAUCUAUUGAAAUUCUAGACGAAGAGCCCUUCCCUCUCCUUAUCCUCCACCAGCGCAGCAAAAAAGGUAGAGUUUCGGCAGUUGCUAAAUGCUUAAAUAAAUGUUAGUAAAUUAGCAACACUCUUUAACUGUCAUUAUAUAUCUAGCGACCCCACAUAUAGCAACACUUUUUAAAAGUGUUGGUAAUUUAGCCAGCAGCACUUUUUUUUGACCUGUACCGAUAUUUAAAAGUGUCGCUAUAGAUCGUUUUUGUUGUAGUGAUUCUUUCAAAUAUUAGGACUUUUGUAGGGACAAAAUAUGAAAAUUGAAUUUUGUAGGGAUAUAUUUGUUAUUCGCUAUGUUUGCAGGGACUUAUAUAAAAUUAACCCUAUUUAUAAUUAAAUUGG
This 938-nucleotide long non-coding RNA is filed under the name Ananas comosus (pineapple). Its description in RNAcentral is "long non-coding RNA (ACOM_LNC010738)". Lineage: Eukaryota; Viridiplantae; Streptophyta; Magnoliopsida; Poales; Bromeliaceae. The record is from RNAcentral.